UUUUUUACAAUACCGUAAUACCGAUAACGUCGAUCUUACUCCGAUUCAGCUAGCUCUGAUACCAAAUGAUACGCCCCGGCUCGGGAAGGAGAGUCGAGUCGUAGAUGUGCCCGAUCGUGAAUUGGAGUAAUUUGAAAGCUUUACAAAAUAGGCUAGAAGAAAAGGAAUUAUUUAGGCUCAAAAGAGUUUUGUUGGUUUAGGAAAUGAAUUAGAAGACAAUGGAUGUAAUUUGGCUAAGGAUUCAAAAGCCGAACUAACACAAUAGUAGUGUGUUAACCCGUAACUUAUGAGAAUGCUUAGGUUGGUAAGGUGUCAAUGGAAGGUUUGUUAAGUGGAUAGAAACUUCGACCCGCUAUCAAAAAUGAUAGGAACCUCAGUACGAAUCGAACGCCACACUUUCGGGAUUAAAGUGAUAAGUUCGGAUAGAAAGACGGGUUGACG
This 441-nucleotide long non-coding RNA is filed under the name Gossypium barbadense (sea-island cotton). RNAcentral's name for it is "long non-coding RNA (GBAR_LNC006450)". Lineage: Eukaryota; Viridiplantae; Streptophyta; Magnoliopsida; Malvales; Malvaceae. The record is from RNAcentral.